This 1716-nucleotide ribosomal RNA is filed under the name human gut metagenome. RNAcentral's name for it is "bacterial LSU rRNA". It matches the Rfam family "Bacterial large subunit ribosomal RNA", at positions 159 to 1905 of the family's 2925-position model. The record is from RNAcentral.
UGAAUACAUAGGCAUGCAGGGGGAACCCGGUGAACUGAAACAUCUAAGUAGCCGGAGGAAAAGAAAGAAAAAUCGAUUUCCAAAGUAGCGGCGAGCGAAAUGGAAGGAGCCCAAACCGGGAUGCGUGCAUUCCGGGGUUAUGGACCGCAACAAGUGACCCGUAAGAUAGAAGAAUGGCAUUGGGAAAGCCAGCCACAGAGGGUGAAAGCCCCGUAUUCGAAAUCAGAAGGGAGCGAGCGGAAUCCGAAGUACUACGAGACACGUGGAACCUUGUAGGAAAUCGGGGGGACCACCCCCCAAGGCUAAAUACUCCUUAGUGACCGAUAGCGCAUAGUACUGUGAAGGAACGGUGAAAAGAACCCCGGGAGGGGAGUGAAAGAGAACCUGAAACCCUGUGUUUACAAGCUGUGGAAGAGCUUUACAUGCUCAACCGCGUACUUUUUGUAGAACGGUCCGGCGAGUUACUCUUACUGGCAAGGUUAAGCACCAAAGGUGUGGAGCCGAAGGGAAACCAAGUCUUAACAGGGCGAGUUAGUCAGUGUGAGUAGACCCGAAACCGGGUGACCUACCCAUGUCCAGGAUGAAGUUGCCGUAAAAGGCAAUGGAGGUCCGAACACACAUCCGUUGAAAAGGGUGGUGAUGAGGUGUGGGUAGCGGAGAAAUUCCAAUCGAACCCGGAGAUAGCUGGUUCUCCUCGAAAUAGCUUUAGGGCUAGCCUCAAUUUAGUCUUGCGGAGGUAGAGCACUGAAUAUCCUAGGGGGCGUCAAAGCUUACCGAAGAUUAUCAAACUCCGAAUGCCGUAAAGAUGAUGAUUGGGAGUCAGACUGCACGAGAUAAGUUGGGUAGUCAAAAGGGAAACAGCCCAGACCUCCAGCUAAGGUCCCAAAGUGAGUGUUAAGUGGAAAAGGAUGUGGGAUUUCGAAGACAACUAGGAUGUUGGCUCAGAAGCAGCCAUUCAUUCAAAGAGUGCGUAAUAGCUCACUAGUCGAGAGGUCCUGCGCCGAAAAUGUCCGGGGCUAAACACUACACCGAAGCUGAGGAAUGACAAUGUCAUUGGUAGAGGAGCAUUCUUAACUGCGACGAAGCUGUACCGAAAGGAGCAGUGGAGUGUUAAGAAGAGAGAAUGCCGGAAUGAGUAGCGAGAGUGAGGUGAGAAUCCUCACGGCCGAAUAUCUAAGGUUUCCAGGGUAAAGCUGAUCUGCCCUGGGUAAGUCGGGACCUAAGGCGAGGUCGAAAGACGUAGUCGAUGGACAACAGGUUGAAAUUCCUGUACUGCAAUGUAUCAGAAAUGUGGGGACACAGACAGAGAGCCGGAGCCGGGAAUGGAGAAACCGGUGCAAGCGGGGUAGGAGAACAGCAGGCAAAUCCGCUGUUCAAUCCAAAGACGUGACGCGGAGCGAAAUUAAAGUAGCGAAGCCGGUGAGCUGGCUGUCAGGAAAAGCCGCUAUUGUGUACAUUGUACCCGUACCGUAAACCGACACAGGUGGAUGAGGAGAGAAUCCUAAGGCCGACGGAAGAAGCAUUGUUAAGGAACUCGGCAAAAUGGCCCCGUAACUUCGGGAUAAGGGGUGCCUACGAAGGUAGGCCGCAGAGAAUUGGCCCAAGCAACUGUUUAGCAAAAACACAGGUCUAUGCGAAACCGUAAGGUGAUGUAUAUGGGCUGACGCCUGCCCGGUGCUGGAAGGUUAAGGGGAGAGGUUAGACAUGAGUCGAAGC